RNAcentral lists this ribosomal RNA (457 nucleotides) under uncultured bacterium. Its description in RNAcentral is "bacterial SSU rRNA". It matches the Rfam family "Bacterial small subunit ribosomal RNA", at positions 29 to 529 of the family's 1533-position model. The record is from RNAcentral.
AACGAACGCUGGCGGCAUGCCUAACACAUGCAAGUCGAACGAGACCUUCGGGUCUAGUGGCGCACGGGUGCGUAACGCGUGGGAAUCUGCCCUUGGGUUCGGAAUAACUUCGGGAAACUGAAGCUAAUACCGGAUGAUGACGUAAGUCCAAAGAUUUAUCGCCCAAGGAUGAGCCCGCGUAGGAUUAGCUAGUUGGUGAGGUAAAGGCUCACCAAGGCGACGAUCCUUAGCUGGUCUGAGAGGAUGAUCAGCCACACUGGGACUGAGACACGGCCCAGACUCCUACGGAGGCAGCAGUGGGGAAUAUUGGACAAUGGGCGAAAGCCUGAUCCAGCAAUGCCGCGUGAGUGAUGAAGGCCUAGGGUUGUAAAGCUCUUUUUACCCGGGAUGAUAAUGACAGUACCGGGAGAAUAAGCUCCGGCUAACUACGUGCCAGCAGCCGCGGUAAAGUNACGUA